UCAAGUAGAAAGGGCACAGGGCGGAUGCCUUGGCUCCGGGAAGCGAAGAAGGACGCGGCCAGCUGCGAUAAGCCUCGGGGAGGAGCAAACAUCCUUUGAUCCGGGGAUUUCCGAAUGGGGAAACCCGCACAGGUGUUGAGCCUGUGCACUGUCAUCUGAAUACAUAGGAUGUCAGGGCAAACCCAGGGAACUGAAACAUCUCAGUACCUGGAGGAAGAGAAAUCAACCGAGAUUCCCUCAGUAGCGGCGAGCGAACGGGGAAGAGCCCAAACCGUCGGGUGCGCCCGGCGGGGUUGUAGGACCGUCAACGAAGUGGAGUCUGAAGGUUAGCGGAAGUGUCUGGGAAGGCACGGCAUAGAGGGUUAGACCCCCGUACGUGAAAGCCGGAGGGCCUACGAGACGGCACCUGAGUAGGGCGGGACACGUGGAACCCCGCUUGAAUCUGGGGGGACCUCCCUCCAAGGCUAAAUAUUACCCGGAGACCGAUAGUGAACCAGUACCGUGAGGGAAAGGUGAAAAGCACCUCGAACAGAGGAGUGAAAUAGUUCCUGAAACCUUGUGUCUACAAGCAGUGGAAGCCUUUAGGGGCGACCGCGUGCCUUUUGCAUAAUGAGCCAACGAGUUGUCCGUCGGCGGCUAGGUUAAGCCAGUGGUGUAGCCGCAGCGAAAGCGAGUCUGAACAGGGCGUUCAGUCGCCGGCGACAGACCCGAAACCGAGUGAUCUAUCCCUGUCCAGGUUGAAGCCUGGGUAAGACCAGGUGGAGGACCGAACCAUUGUGCCUUAAAAAGCGCUUGGAUGAGGUGGGGAUAGGAGUGAAAGGCUAAUCAAACUCGGAGAUAUCUGGUUCUCCCCGAAACCUAUUUAGGUAGGGCCUCGCGUCAGGCCGCCGGAGGUAGAGCACUGGAUGGACUAGGGCCCCCACCAGGGUACCAAACCCAACCAAACUGCGAAUGCCGGCGAGUCGUUUCGCGGGAGUCAGACGGCGGGAGCUAACUUUCGUCGUCGAAAGGGAAACAACCCAGAUCGCCAGCUAAGGCCCCCAAGUCAUGGCUAAGUGGGAAAGGAAGUGGGAACGCCCAGACAACCAGGAGGUUAGCUUAGAAGCAGCUACCCUUUAAAGAAAGCGUAAUAGCUCACUGGUCAAGCGGGCCUGCACCGAAAAUAUAACGGGGCUCAAGCCAUGCGCCGAAGCUGCGGAACGUUUCUUUUGAGACGUUGGUAGGGGAGCGUUCCCCGGGCGGUGAAGCUGUGGUGUAAACCAUGGUGGAGCGCGGGGAAGUGAGGAUGUUGGCAUGAGUAACGAAAAUGCGGGCGAGAAACCCGCACGCCGAAAGUCCAAGGUUUCCUGGGCCAGGUUAAUCCGCCCAGGGUUAGUCGGCACCUAAGGCGAGGCCGAAAGGCGUAGUCGAAGGCAAACCGGUUCAUAUUCCGGUACUUGCCUUGGCGCGUGAUGGAGGGACGCAGGAGGAUAGGUCGGCCGGGUGAUGGAUGUCCCGGUUUAAGGUGGUAGCCGGAAGCUUCAGGCAAAUCCGGAGCUUCAACGGCGAGAGCUGAUGACGAGAGGCUUUGCCUCGCAAAGCGAUCGAUUCCACACUGCCUAGAAAAGCUUCUAAGCAUAGCCAAGGCGAACCGUACCCCAAACCGACACAGGUGGACAGGUAGAGCAUACCAAGGCGCUUGAGAGAAACCAUGUUAAGGAACUCUGCAAAUUAACUCCGUACCCUUGGAAGAAGGAGUGCCCGCCAGGUGAAGGGGCUUGCCCCCGGAGCUCAGGUGGGUCGCAGUGACCAGGCCUGGCCGACUGUUUAGCAAAAACACAGCACUCUGCAAACUCGCAAGAGGAAGUAUAGGGUGUGACGCCUGCCCGGUGCCGGAAGGUUAACAGGAGAGGUCAGCUUACGCGAAGCCUCGAAUCGAAGCCCCGGUAAACGGCGGCCGUAACUAUAACGGUCCUAAGGUAGCGAAAUUCCUUGUCGGGUAAGUUCCGACCU
This 1992-nucleotide ribosomal RNA is filed under the name marine metagenome. RNAcentral's name for it is "bacterial LSU rRNA". It matches the Rfam family "Bacterial large subunit ribosomal RNA", at positions 1 to 1989 of the family's 2925-position model. The record is from RNAcentral.